Eutrema salsugineum is the source of this 77-nucleotide small nucleolar RNA. It matches the Rfam family "Small nucleolar RNA snoR64a". The record is from Rfam. Lineage: Eukaryota; Viridiplantae; Streptophyta; Magnoliopsida; Brassicales; Brassicaceae.
ACACUUUGCCAAGUUGUUGAAUGCUCGGAAUAUUUCUGAGUAUUAUGAUUCAUUACUUGUAUAGGAAGAUCUGAUGA